GGAAGGUGCGAGCGUUAAUCGGAAUUACUGGGGCGUAAAGCGCGCGUAGGCGGCUAGAUAAGUCGGGUGUGAAAGCCCUGGGGCUCAACCUGGGAACCGCAUUCGAUACUGUCUAGCUAGAGUGUGGUAGAGGGAGGCGGAAUUCCGCAUGUAGCGGUGAAAUGCGUAGAGAUGCGGAGGAACACCAAUGGCGAAGGCAGCCUUCUGGACCAACACUGACGCUGAGGCGCGAAAGCGUGGGGAGCAAACAGGAUUAGAUACCCUGGUAGUCCACGCCGUAAACGAUGUCAACUAGCCGUUGGGAGCAUUUUGGCUCUUGGUGGCGCAGCUAACGCGAUAAGUUGACCGCCUGGGGAGUACGGUCGCAAGAUUA
This 373-nucleotide ribosomal RNA is filed under the name uncultured organism. Its description in RNAcentral is "partial 16S ribosomal RNA". It matches the Rfam family "Bacterial small subunit ribosomal RNA", at positions 527 to 896 of the family's 1533-position model. The record is from RNAcentral.